This 829-nucleotide ribosomal RNA is filed under the name uncultured eukaryote. RNAcentral describes it as "SSU rRNA". It matches the Rfam family "Eukaryotic small subunit ribosomal RNA", at positions 20 to 852 of the family's 1831-position model. The record is from RNAcentral.
GUAGUCAUAUGCUUGUCUCAAAGACUAAGCCAUGCAUGUCCGAGUUAAAGCCGUAGAAAAAGUGAAACUGCGAAUGGCUCAUUAAAUCAGUUACCGUUCACUUGAAGAAUGAACUGCUACAUGGAUACCUGUGGCAAGUGGAGAGCUAACACAUGCACGUAACGUCCCAACUCAAGAGUGGAUGUGCUAGUUAGACUGCAAACCAACCGGGGUCAAACCCGACCGGUGAAGCAUACACUUAUCAUUCGGAUCGCACGUCCUCGCGACGGCGACGCUUCAUUCAAGUAACUGCCCUAUCACGUUGUCGGUAGUGUCUUGGACUACCGAGCGGGUCACGGGUAACGGGGAAUCAGAGUUCGAUUCCGGAGAAGGAGCAUGAGACACGGCUACUACAUCCAAGGAAGGCAGCAGGCGCGCAAAUUACCCAAUCGGCAUUGCCGGAGGUAGUGACAGUACCUAUCAAUGGGGAGCCCUUUGGGUUCCCUAAUUGGAAUGAGAUAGUCCUAAAUCACGUGUUGAGGAACUAUUGGAGGGCAAGUCUGGUGCCAGCAGCCGCGGUAAUUCCAGCUCCAACAGCGUAUAUUAAAGUUGUUGCGGUUAAAACGUUCGUAGUCGAACAUCGGAGGCGGACGGAUCACCGGAUCACCCGCUCUGCGGGCCCGGCCGUCGACAGCUCUCUUACAUCCUCGCUGCGUGAACUCCGGGCGACCGGGGGGAGCCACGGGAUCUUACCUCGAACAAAUGAGAACGCUUGAGGUUGGCAAAGACUGCCAGAAUCGAUUAGCAUGGAAUAACAGAUUGACGGCGACGUCGUCUGUUGGUUGGCACA